CCUACGGGUGGCAGCAGUGGGGAAUAUUGGAUAAUGGGCGAAAGCCUGAUCCAGCCAUGCCGCGUGUGUGAAGAAGGCCUUCGGGUUGUAAAGCACUUUCAGUGGGGAAGAAAGCCUUGGGGCUAAUACCCUCGAGGAAGGACAUCACCCACAGAAGAAGCACCGGCUAACUCCGUGCCAGCAGCCGCGGUAAUACGGAGGGUGCGAGCGUUAAUCGGAAUUACUGGGCGUAAAGCGCGCGUAGGCGGUCUGAUAAGCCGGUUGUGAAAGCCCCGGGCUCAACCUGGGAACGGCAUCCGGAACUGUCAGGCUAGAGUGCAGGAGAGGAAGGUAGAAUUCCCGGUGUAGCGGUGAAAUGCGUAGAGAUCGGGAGGAAUACCAGUGGCGAAGGCGGCCUUCUGGACUGACACUGACGCUGAGGUGCGAAAGCGUGGGUAGCAAACAGGAUUAGAUACCCCGGUAGUC
RNAcentral lists this ribosomal RNA (465 nucleotides) under Vreelandella stevensii. Its description in RNAcentral is "partial 16S ribosomal RNA". It matches the Rfam family "Bacterial small subunit ribosomal RNA", at positions 338 to 795 of the family's 1533-position model. The record is from RNAcentral. Lineage: Bacteria; Pseudomonadati; Pseudomonadota; Gammaproteobacteria; Oceanospirillales; Halomonadaceae.